Molecule: unclassified non-coding RNA, 1251 nt
Filed under: Athalia rosae (coleseed sawfly)
Lineage: Eukaryota; Metazoa; Arthropoda; Insecta; Hymenoptera; Athaliidae
Description: misc RNA ENSAEAG00005008331.1
Source: RNAcentral
AAAGCGUCAGCUCCACAGAAGAAAUUCUGGUUUUUGAUAACUGCUGUUCCCUUGAGUGGACAUGGGGUGAUGAUGCCCCUGCAUACUACACUCAUUUUUUGCAGUUGGGGAAUGUUACAAGGAAAUAUCGCUGAUUGUCUAACGACCCGUGCUACCUGGAUGAGUUCUUACGGCAUAGGCUGCUUGGCACAAAUAUCUGGUGUGCCACAAAUUUCACCACUUGGGAGUUUUUGUGCAAACCUGUUAUUUUGAAUGGGGGAAGUUACAAGGAAAUGUCAUUGGUCUGUCCAAUGGCCUGUACUGCCGGGAUGAGAUCUUGCUGGCCAUGAGUUAAUUCGGUGACAAUAAUAUAUUGUUUACAAAAUAAUAAUAAUAUGUGUUAUUAGAGCCCUGAAUAAAAAUCCGGUCUCAUUCCUUUGUAAUUCAUUGGCGUCAAUCUUUUCUAAUAAAAAAAAAACGACAUCAAAAUAUCUCAAACUUCUGUUAGAAAUUUCAUUUGCGACUUUACCGGCGACUACUAAACAGUAAAUCAUUGAGAAAUCCCCAAUGAAAUUCAGCAGCACCCUUUCCGAUCACUCCUCCAGAUUUGAUCACGCUGGUCAUUUAGGUUUGGGAGCGAGUCCAGUUAAUCUGAAGUGUGCGGGAGUGGACUGUGGCUUGUAAAGCAGAUUAUGGAUAUUGUUUAGAAUUUACACGCUGAUAGUCCUUGGGAGUGAAAUUUUUCUGACAAACAUUUUUAAACUAGUGAAAAAUUAUCACCAUGUAGUUUAUCUGCAAGUUUGUAGCGGGGUGAAUUGAAAGAGAACUUUUAAUAUUAAGUGUAAAAAAAUAUAUUCAACAAAUAGCAAUAAUACAUCAAUUUCUAGUGAUGUAAAUAUAUGUAGUCAAAUUCAGUAUCACAUUGCUCACCAAAUAUUAAAACAUAUGAAUUUCCUAGGAAUAUAAAAGAUUUACAAUUUAGUUGAUUAACUGCUCUGGUUAACAAAAAUCUCACUCACUCACUCUCUCUCUCUCUUUCUGUCUUUCCGUCUCUCUCUUGGCACAUGAAAUUCUUCGUUACUAGUCAUUAACCACCUGCCUUCGACAAAUGCCCCGAUUAACAUACCUGGAUUUCCAAUUAUACUUAAUCAAAUAGUUACGCCGAUCCAUCUUCAGCAACGACCAUAUGCAUAAUUCGAUUGAUGAGCUGAAAAUAUUAUGACUCUAUACGAAUUGUUUACAACCAGGAGCAAUCUAAAAGCGGAUCCUCUC